GAUGAACGCUGGCGACGUGGAUAAGGCAUGCAAGUCAAACGGCUCUUCGGAGCAGUGGCAGACGAGGUAGUAACACGUAGGAAACCACCCUUUAGUCAGGAAUAACUAUCCGAAAGGAUAGCUAAUACUUGAUAGUCUCUUCGGAGUAAAGAUUUAUCGCUAAAGGAGGUGCCUGCGGAGUAUCAGCUUGUUGGUAAGGUAAUGGCUUACCAAGGCUAUGACGCUUAGGGGAGGUGAGAGCCUGACCCCCACCGAUGGUACUGAGACACGGACCAUACACCUACGGGUGGCCGCAGUCGAGAAUCUUCCGCAAUGGACGAAAGUCUGACGGAGCGACGUCGCGUGAUCGAUGAAGUCUUUAGGGAUGUAAAGGUCUUUUAUAGAGGAGGAAGUUUAUUGACGUUACUCUAUGAAUAAGGGGUUGCUAAACUCG
RNAcentral lists this ribosomal RNA (433 nucleotides) under uncultured bacterium. Its description in RNAcentral is "bacterial SSU rRNA". It matches the Rfam family "Bacterial small subunit ribosomal RNA", at positions 28 to 505 of the family's 1533-position model. The record is from RNAcentral.